Molecule: ribosomal RNA, 301 nt
Filed under: uncultured bacterium
Lineage: Bacteria
Description: partial 16S ribosomal RNA
Rfam family: Bacterial small subunit ribosomal RNA
Source: RNAcentral
CAGCAGCCGCGGUAAUACGAGGGGGGCAAGCGUUGUUCGGAAUUAUUGGGCGUAAAGGGCGCGUAGGCGGUUUGGCAAGUUUGGUGUGAAAUCUUCGGGCUCAACUCGAAGUCUGCACCGAAAACUGCCGGGCUUGAGUAUGGGAGAGGUGAGUGGAAUUUCCGGUGUAGCGGUGAAAUGCGUAGAUAUCGGAAGGAACACCUGUGGCGAAAGCGGCUCACUGGACCAUUACUGACGCUGAGGCGCGAAAGCUAGGGGAGCAAACAGGAUUAGAUACCCGCGUAGUCCCUGUCUCUUAUAC